Molecule: long non-coding RNA, 931 nt
Filed under: Chrysemys picta bellii (western painted turtle)
Lineage: Eukaryota; Metazoa; Chordata; Testudines; Emydidae
Description: lncRNA (ENSCPBG00000013585.1)
Source: RNAcentral
AACAGUGAGUAAAUUCAUCCACCAACUUCAAACCUCUUCCACUGGGUGUGUGAAAACAGGUGUCAUUGAAACAUUUUAUCUGAUGAAAAUGAGCACUGUGGCAUCGUCAACUGAUGUGCUAGUUCCCUAAAAUUCUGCCAAGCCAACAUGUUCUGAUAUAAGAAAAGGCUGCUGAAAUACCCAAUUGAGAGGAUCCAGAUAUCAGUGUAUGGAUUACAUUUUACUAGUCGUGGCAACUGACUCCUUGGCAAGCUCUGGCGCCAGUUGUUACAGCAGCUUUGCAGUUGCCAUUGGGUCUGUCUGAGGAUUACACUGUUGAGAGUCUGCCUAGGCCAUUUUGUACUCAGACAGCAUUUUCCUCUGGCUCACUUUUGAUUGACAAUUCCAUUAUGGAUAUCUUGUGGAAUUACUGGGAAAGGAUUACGGACAGAAGAGAGAGAAAAAAAGAAGAUUAGCACACAUGAUACAUAUACAUCCACACAUCAAGGAUCAAGCCCGCGAAAGGAAAGGGAAAGUGGUGAAUCUCCCAUGAACUUGAAUGGUGUUUCCCUGACAAGAUGCUCCAUGAUUUUACUGAAUGUCUGGCCUCUGUGGCAUGCAGCUAUAUUGCUCUUUUCCCUUCAUGCUGACCUCCAAGUUCAACUGCCUCUGACAUGAGCAGCAGGAGAGAAAGAGCAGCUCAGUACUGCGUGAAAAGAAAGGCACAAAGCUGGAAGUUGAAUGUAAAGCAAUUACCAGGGCAAAUGGAAAAAUUGCAGUACCGCUCAUCAUACAGUAUAUUAUAAAUCUAGGAAAACAGAUUUAUAGAAAAAAGACAAGCUUACCAAGAGCAGUAUUCUCUCUGCAGUUUUACCACAUCUAAAUGGGGCAGAACAUCUUUAUAAAGCAUAUUUCCCGAAUUUUCCUGUGUUUUUAAUCAUAUGAGAUAACA